RNAcentral lists this ribosomal RNA (1194 nucleotides) under Triticum aestivum (bread wheat). RNAcentral describes it as "partial small subunit ribosomal RNA". Lineage: Eukaryota; Viridiplantae; Streptophyta; Magnoliopsida; Poales; Poaceae. The record is from RNAcentral.
AUGAAUUUGAAACAACUUGAUCAUGAGCAUGUUGCCCAAUCUUGGGAAAGAAUGAAAUUGAUGCUUCGCAAUUGCCCUACUCAUGGUUUGAAUUUAUGGAUGAUCAUACAAAAAUUUUAUGCCGGUUUGAACUUUGCUUCUAGAAAUCUCUUAGAUUCGGCCGCGGGAGGCACAUUUAUUGAAAUCACGUUAGGAGAUGCUACAAAAUUGCUUGAUAAUAUUAUGUCUAAUUAUUCUCAAUGGCACACCGAAAGAUCUUCUAGUAAAAAAGUGCAUGCUAUAGAAGAAAUCAAUGUUUUGAGUGGAAAGAUGGAUGAACUUAUGAAGAUGUUUGCUACUAAAAAUACUCCUCUUGAUCCUAAUGAUAUGCCUUUGUCUUCCUUGAUUGAGAAUAAUAAUGAAUCUAUGGAUGUGAAUUUUGUUGGUAGGAAUAGUUUUGGAAACAACGCUUAUAGAGGAAAUUUUAAUGCUAGACAGUUCCCUAGUAAUCCCUCUAAUAAUUAUGGAAAUUCCUACAAUAAUUCUUAUGGUAAUUUUAAGAAGAUGCCCUAUGAUUUUGAGAAUAAUGUGAAAGAAUUUAUGAUUUCUCAAAAGAAUUUUAAUGCUUUGCUUGAAGAAAAAUUGCUCAAAGUUGAUGAUUUGGCUAGGAACGUUGAUAGACUUUUGCUUGAUGUUAAUUCUCUUAAACUUGGAUCUUCUUCUCCUAAGCAUGAUAUCAAUGAGUCUCUCGAAGUAAUGAGAAUUUCCAUUGACGAGUGCAAGGAAAGAACCGCUAGAUUGCGUGCUAAAAAAGAAAGCUUUAUACAAGCGUGUUCUUCUAGUUUUCAUGAAAAUAAUGAUGAGGAUCUUAAAGUUAUUGAUGCGUCUCCGAUUAGAUCUAUGUUUUGCAAUAUGAAUUUUGAUGAUUAUGGGAGUGAUGAUGAAUCCACUUUGCCUAGAAGGCGUCCCAAAAAUUUGGAGUCUUUAGAUCUUAAUGCUAAAUUUGGUAAAAGUGAGAUUGGAGAAUCUUCAACAUCUAAUAAUGUUGAACCCACUAUCUCGGAUUUCAAAGAAUUUGAUUAUGAUAAUUGUUCUUUAAAAGGGUGUAUUUCCUUGUUGCAAUCCGUUGAUGACUUGAUGCAAUCUUAUGAUAAAAACUUAAUUUGGAAGUUUCUAUACCUAGAAAACUUAAUGAUGAGUGGGAACCUACUAUAA